UCUGAAGUGUCCUACACAUUUAACUUCGAAUUAAAAAAUCUAUAUCAGCAGAG
RNAcentral lists this transfer RNA (53 nucleotides) under Cymothoa indica. Its description in RNAcentral is "tRNA-Arg". Lineage: Eukaryota; Metazoa; Arthropoda; Malacostraca; Isopoda; Cymothoidae. The record is from RNAcentral.